RNAcentral lists this unclassified non-coding RNA (1035 nucleotides) under Cimex lectularius (bed bug). RNAcentral describes it as "uncharacterized LOC106670961, transcript variant X2". The record is from RNAcentral. Lineage: Eukaryota; Metazoa; Arthropoda; Insecta; Hemiptera; Cimicidae.
UUUAUUUUAACAAAACAUAUGUACGACUUUUUUCUAUUUAAUACUGAAAAACGAUUUUUUACAUUCAAAAUUCAAUGCUUGUUUGUAAUAAGUGAUCGCCGUCGACCGAUGGGGCAUCCGAUGCGCCCUCGCUUCUCCUCCUUUGGUCAAUGAGAUUUAUGUUUCUUGGGGAUGACUACUGAUAAAAUACAGCCUUAUGAUGUCUUCCAACGAUCCACACCGCUCUUGCAGUAAAGAAAAAGAAGUAAAAAUCCGUGACCCCACCUCCAGUACCAUUAGUUUUUUUGAAUAUUCCAAUCGCCAUUUAUCUAGGGGAUUUGAAGAAAACCAAGGUGGCCUCCUUGCUAAAGAGCGUGAAGAAGAAUCAGUACUUGAAGAAAACAAAGGAAAGAAACGUCAGUCGAGAGCAUGCAGUUUAGAAAAGGGCGCCCCUCCAAAAAAGGUAGAGGAGAAGAAGGGCCAUGAUCGCCAUGCCCCUAAGAAAACUGAUAGCCGGACCAAGCAGAAGCAGGGAAAUCCUUACGCUAUUGUGGUGGAACGUAAUCAAAAUUGGUCUCAGUGCAGUGUGGGCAGUGACGAGAUUUGUCUGAAUAAACCCAGUUUCAGUAAAGUUAGUGGUGCUACUGGAACGGAUAGUACCUCGGUGAACUCAUCGCCCUCUGCGGACUUACAACGGAUAUCAUGAUGUUAUGAACGAUCUUCUACCACAUGAAAAAUGAGAGUGUGAGCAAUUAUAAAAGAAAAACGAGAAUGCCCGGCAAUUUUGUUAGUGUUGAUCGUCAAGAUGCUGAUUAUUUUAAUGACACUCCGUGAGGACGAAAUGGAUCAAGCCCAAAAGACAUUUGAAGGAUAUCAGAAGAGGAUUGGAGGAUUGACAUCGAUUUAGAGAAAUCGUAAAUCCUGUAUUGACAUAAACCUCAGUUAGUAAGAAAUUCCAUUGUUCUCGCCCGACUGAAGAAGUGUGAUAUUGAAGAAUACAGUCGUCCUGAUGAAAGGGUCGGAAAAGAAUCUGAAAUUAAAAAAAUUGUAAAAUGA